UUGCCCAAUGAUUAUAGCAAGACGCGUUAUUAUGAGGACUAAUGCUGGAACUCUUUCUCCUCCUCCUACUUCUCCUYCUUUGUCCCUUCCUCUUUCACCUUACCUCCUCCUUUUCCUUAGGGUAUCCAGCGUCCUAUGAGCAAGACUGAGAUAUGAGGGCAA
Small nucleolar RNA from Dromaius novaehollandiae (emu), 162 nucleotides. Ensembl annotates it as small nucleolar RNA, C/D box 97. The record is from Ensembl. NCBI's taxonomy places the organism in Eukaryota, Metazoa, Chordata, Aves, Casuariiformes, Dromaiidae.